UACGAAAGGUGCGAGCGUUAAUCGGAAUUACUGGGCGUAAAGCGCGCGUAGGCGGUUUGUUAAGUCUGAUGUGAAAGCCCCGGGCUCAACCUGGGAAUUGCAUCGGAUACUGGCAAGCUAGAAUGCGGUAGAGGGGGGUGGAAUUCCAGGUGUAGCGGUGAAAUGCGUAGAGAUCUGGAGGAACACCAGUGGCGAAGGCGGCCCCCUGGACUGACAUUGACGCUGAGGUGCGAAAGCGUGGGGAU
RNAcentral lists this ribosomal RNA (245 nucleotides) under uncultured Gammaproteobacteria bacterium. Its description in RNAcentral is "partial 16S ribosomal RNA". It matches the Rfam family "Bacterial small subunit ribosomal RNA", at positions 524 to 768 of the family's 1533-position model. The record is from RNAcentral. Lineage: Bacteria; Pseudomonadati; Pseudomonadota; Gammaproteobacteria.